UACGACUACAUAUCAGGCAUAUCAAUAAGCGGAGGAAAAGAAACUAACUAGGAUUCCCUUAGUAACGGCGAGUGAAGCGGGAAGAGCUCAAAUUUGAAAUCUUCAAGGUUUACCUUGACGAAUUGUAGUUUAAAGAAGUGUUUUCUGUUGGAAGUUUUGGUAAAAGUUCUUUGGAAUAGGACAUCAUAGAGGGUGAGAAUCCCGUAUUUGACCAUUAUUUCAGCUUUGUGAUACACUUUCAAAGAGUCGGAUUGUUUGGGAAUGCAGUCCAAAAUGGGUGGUAAAUUUCAUCUAAAGCUAAAUAUUGGCGAGAGACCGAUAGCGAACAAGUACCGUGAGGGAAAGAUGAAAAGAACUUUGAAAAGAGAGUUAAACAGUACGUGAAAUUGUCAAAAGGGAAGCGUUUGACACCAGUGUUGUUUUCUCGAAAAUCAAUUAAAAAAAGUUGGAUUUUGUGUUGUAUUGACCUUAACAGCUUGCUUCACUCUUUCCAGCUUUUUUUAAUGCACUUUUCGUUUAACAAGUCAACAUCAGUUUCUUUUGUUGUAAAAGGGUCAUUGGAAGGUGGCUUUCUCUUCGGAGAAAGUGUUUAUAGCCUUUGAUCUCUGCAAUCGGAGAGACUGAGGUCUGCAGCGUAGAUCCUUCGGGGUUAGAUACAUUUGUGCUAAGCUAUCAGCCUUUCAUAGACAACUUGUUGACUAUGAUUAGUCAUUGUAGCUUACUCGCUUAUGCUAUUUUACCUACGCUUAGGAUGUUGAGCGCAUGUCUCUCUCU
This 774-nucleotide ribosomal RNA is filed under the name uncultured Neocallimastigales. RNAcentral's name for it is "partial large subunit ribosomal RNA". It matches the Rfam family "Eukaryotic large subunit ribosomal RNA", at positions 24 to 616 of the family's 3401-position model. The record is from RNAcentral. Lineage: Eukaryota; Fungi; Neocallimastigomycota; Neocallimastigomycetes; Neocallimastigales.